GACGAACGCUGGCGGCGUGCUUAACACAUGCAAGUCGAGCGGAGCGGCGAACGGGUGAGUAAAGCGUGAGUAACUGCCCCCCUCUCUGGGAUAACAGUUGGAAAGGGCUGCUAAUACCGGCUAGUGGGGGAUGAAUCGCGUCCUAUAACCUUGUUGGUGGGGUAGUGGCCUACCAAGGGGACGACGGGUAGCCGGCCUGAGGGGGGGACCGGCCACAUUGGGCUGGGAUACGGCCCCAACUCCUACGGGAGGCAGCAGGGGGGAAUAUUGCACAAUGGGGGAAACCCUGAUGCAGCAACGCGCGUGCGGGAUGACGGCCUUCGGGUUGUAAACCGCUUUCAGCCAUGACGCGGUAGUGGCAGAAGAAGCACCGUCUAACUACGUGCCAGCAGCCGCGGUAAUAC
Molecule: ribosomal RNA, 404 nt
Filed under: uncultured bacterium
Lineage: Bacteria
Description: partial 16S ribosomal RNA
Rfam family: Bacterial small subunit ribosomal RNA
Source: RNAcentral